UGCCAUUUUUCAAAUGGAGUGUGAGCUGGAUUGAAAUGAACAGGAGAAGAGCAGUCUGGAAACAUGCAGUGCUUCUUAAUCAUCCUAAACAUCUUUUUGAAACAAGAAACUCUUCAUUUUACCAUCAUUAUUCUUCUGGUGAUGCUGUAUGACUUUGUCAUGAGACAAUAUGGUCUUGAAGAACCGUCAUGGAUCCCCACAGAGGACAUUUAAGGCUACAAUGAAUCAUCUGUGAAAAGGAAAUGUUGCACUGUGGAAGGAAUAACUGUACAAUCAUCUACAAACAGAAGCAUCUGGAAGAAUGAAUCAAUUAUAAAGAAUCCCUUUGACUGUAACCCUGCACAGGACACAGUUUAUGAUAAAGGUUCUGUCCACCCUCAUGCUCAUCAUUCUAUAACCAGGACCUUUUUUCAAAGUGAAGAAAUUAUCCCCUUCCCAAACUUCCAAGUACAAACUUUUCAAGAAAAGCAAACAAACAUGACAGAGGAGAAAAGUAAUGGCUUCUUCAACUUCUUUAAUCACUGUGCUAUGGACUACUUACUUCUC
Long non-coding RNA from Sarcophilus harrisii (Tasmanian devil), 546 nucleotides. RefSeq lists it as uncharacterized. NCBI's taxonomy places the organism in Eukaryota, Metazoa, Chordata, Mammalia, Dasyuromorphia, Dasyuridae. The transcript has 3 exons. The record is from RefSeq and is a predicted model, not a curated record.